Non-coding RNA from Cordylochernes scorpioides, 80 nucleotides. Lineage: Eukaryota; Metazoa; Arthropoda; Arachnida; Pseudoscorpiones; Chernetidae. The record is from the annotation of a GenBank genome assembly.
UCCAGGGUAACCUAGUGGACAUGGCAUCUGUCCGGUAAGCGGGUAGCGGGUAACUGUGGGUUCGAUUCCCAUCCUUGGAC